AGCCACCUUGGAAGACAGUUUGCCAGUUUCUCACAAAAGGAAACAAAUUCUUGCCACAUGAUUCAGCGAUCAUGCUUCUUGGUAUUUGCCCAGAAGAGUUGAAAAUUUUAUGUCCACAAAACAACCUGCACAUGGAUGUUUCUAGCAGCUUUAUUCAUAAUUGCCAACACUUGAAAGCAACCAAGAUGUCCUUCAGUCAGUGAAUGGAUAAACUGUGGUCCAUCCAGACAAUGGAAUAUUAUUCAGCACUAAAAAGAUGUGAGCUCUCAAGCCAUGAAAAGACAUGGAAGAACCUUAAAUGCAUAUUACUAAGUAAAGGAAGCCAAUCUGCAAAGAGAAAUCAAAGAUGUCGAGAGAGUAGAAAAGAUCAUUCAGCACAAACGAAAGAUGGCACACCAAGGGAAAUGAAAAUGAAAACAUUAAUGCCUCGGAAAUAAUAGUUCUUUGGGAGCAGAAAGAAAAAACGCCAGCCUCCUAUCCAUGUCCCAUUCAAUGAGAAAGAAGGCAGCUACUAAAUCUCCCCUUGGAUUCCCAUUUUGUACGUGCAGUGAGAGUGCUACCCAAAGGCAUCUAAGAAGAGAACGUGUGUAAUAAUGAUUUCUUCAGGAUUCCAGGGCUCUGGAGGGUAUGCCUAAGAACUUAUUAACUAUUUAUACUUACCAACUCAUAAAUCUAAAUGAUUAAUAUCAGCA
This is a non-coding RNA of Kogia breviceps (pygmy sperm whale), 692 nucleotides long. The record is from RefSeq and is a predicted model, not a curated record. Lineage: Eukaryota; Metazoa; Chordata; Mammalia; Artiodactyla; Physeteridae.